AUAUGCUCACACACUGCUGUUAGACAUGAACUUUAUUAUUGUAUCAACCUUGAUGGCUCUCUACUCAACGGGUGGACAUGGUCAAACCCUGACUGAAUCGGAGUCUGUGGUCAUUAAUCCUGGAGGAUCUCACAGACUGACCUGCACAGCCUCUGGGUUAACCAUCAGCGGCUACUGGAUGGCUUGGAUCAGACAGGCUCCUGGGAAAGGGCUGGAAUGGAUCGCUAGCAUGGUCGGCACUACUAUCUACCACUCUCAGGCUAUUCAGGGACGGUUCACAAUCUCUAGAGACAACAGCAAGAGCCAGGUGUAUCUGCAGAUGAACAGCCUGAAGACUGAGGACACUGCUGUGUAUUACUGUGCCCGAGACCCACAGUGACAGAAGAGUCUGGAGAGAUGAACAAAAACUCACAGUGAAAACAGGGGCACUGAACUGUGACUGUCCGUUCAAAAACACAGUUUUAGAGUCUAAUGCCUUGCUUGCCCCACUUUGGACAGCAGGUGGCGUCAGAGAUGUAGAACACGGGGACAUUCCCAUGAACUCUUACUCAUCAACACCACACAAUGAAACACUCAUUAAC
Molecule: non-coding RNA, 581 nt
Organism: Clupea harengus (Atlantic herring)
Lineage: Eukaryota; Metazoa; Chordata; Actinopteri; Clupeiformes; Clupeidae
Source: the annotation of a RefSeq genome assembly